CGGCGCGCCCUGCGGGAGCAGCUGGAGCAAAUGCAUCGGGAGAGGACGGAGCGGCUGCGGGCCCUCGGGGCCAGGAACACCCAGAACUUCCUGGAACUACUGUGUUCCCCUGGUGCUGAGGAUCCCGUGCCUGCGAAGUAGUGCUCGCCCUUCCCAGCACCCUCUGGUCAUUGCUGAGUCCUCAAAGGGAUGAUUAAAGUGAUGAGGGUUACGGAAAAAGCAAGAGGGCAACUUGCAGGUCUGAUAGUUUCAGAAAGGCCUGAAUGCAACCUCAGGGACAGGGAGAGCAGAGGGGCACAGACACACACAGCAGCUUUGCCCC
Molecule: long non-coding RNA, 322 nt
Filed under: Homo sapiens (human)
Lineage: Eukaryota; Metazoa; Chordata; Mammalia; Primates; Hominidae
Description: HSALNT0128832
Source: RNAcentral